GGCAGAGACCAGGGUGUCGUCAUGACAGUAACCUGUCAUCGCGCUACCGUCUUGGGAGUCAUCAUGAAAGUGACAUGGAUGCCAGUACUAGACUGUUUCGCACAUAGGCUGAGCUGGAACGCGAGUACGCCGAAGAUGUCUUGCGAUACAGCACCUCAGAGUUUUUCGUUUAGCAUGUCAGAGGCGAAAUUAUACUAUUUCAGUGCCGGAUAGCCUUGAGAAAAUAUAUCAUUGUUAGAUAGUUAUCACUCGGGGCACUGAGACAUGCGACAUGGAGAAACAGGCCGACGCCCUCUAGUCUCGCUUAUUAGGCUACUUACUCUGUAUCUUAGUGGGUUGUGAACUGGACAUUUACACUAUUUAUAUACCCGUACCUUAACUCCACCUCGUAGCGUCUUAUCUGUGGAUUAUUUUUUGCAUAUUGUGGUGAAAUUCUCUUUUAUUUUUUUUGCCGUACCCAUAUUACAAGCCUGUAUUAUUGUUUCUUGGCAACAUUAUGUCGUGGCGUAUUUUAUGAUUAACAUUCCAGUCGUGCUUUUAAAUAUUUUGGUAAACAGUAUAAUAUAGUUUAUGUACAUGAUAAAAUUUUGGGUAUAACCAUUUUUUUUUCAAAUCUUAAUAAAAUUGGGAUGGCACUUACCCCAAAAUCCAAA
Molecule: long non-coding RNA, 653 nt
Organism: Cherax quadricarinatus
Lineage: Eukaryota; Metazoa; Arthropoda; Malacostraca; Decapoda; Parastacidae
Source: RefSeq, a predicted model, not a curated record